UACGGAGGGGGCAAGCGUUGUUCGGAAUCACUGGGCGUAAAGCGCGUGUAGGCGGCCUCUUAAGUCUGGUGUGAAAGCCCGGGGCUCACCCCCGGAAGGGCACUGGAUGCUGGGAGGCUAGAGUACCGGAGAGGAGGGUUGAAUUCCUGGUGUAGCGGUGAAAUGCGUAGAUAUCAGGAGGAACACCGGUGGCGAAGGCGGCCCUCUGGACGGCUACUGACGCUGAGACGCGAAAGCGUGGGGAGCAAACAGG
This 253-nucleotide ribosomal RNA is filed under the name uncultured bacterium. RNAcentral describes it as "partial 16S ribosomal RNA". It matches the Rfam family "Bacterial small subunit ribosomal RNA", at positions 524 to 776 of the family's 1533-position model. The record is from RNAcentral.